AUACAGGGGGUGCGAGCGUUAAUCGGAAUUACUGGGCGUAAAGAGUACGUAGGCGGUUGCUUAAGUCAGAUGUGAAAGCCCCGGGCUCAACCUGGGAACUGCAUUUGAAACUGAGUGACUAGAGUUUAAGAGAGGGGAGUAGAAUUCCGGGUGUAGCGGUGAAAUGCGUAGAGAUCCGGAGGAAUACCAGUGGCGAAGGCGGCUCCCUGGCUUAAAACUGACGCUGAGGUACGAAAGCGUGGGUAGCAAACAGGAUUAGAUACCCGGGUAGUCC
RNAcentral lists this ribosomal RNA (274 nucleotides) under uncultured bacterium. RNAcentral describes it as "partial 16S ribosomal RNA". It matches the Rfam family "Bacterial small subunit ribosomal RNA", at positions 523 to 796 of the family's 1533-position model. The record is from RNAcentral.